AGCUCCCCCCGGCCUAUUUAGCAGCCGGCAGGCAGUCGGUGCAGACCCAGUUCUUCUUUGCGGCUUUGGGACGCGAGUGGUAACCGCGCCGACAGGCUGAGCAGAAGCACAACCUUCUUGGACUGCCAGUGUCGUCUGCGAAACGUCGUCCACUGCGCGUCGUCUGCUCUCGUUCGCCGCUCGCCUUGAGUGUAGCCGACGCUAAUAGUUCGUUUGUGUGAUCCGAGGAAGAAAAAAAGAACAGACGCGUGCGGCAUAAGAAAACAUGGGCGUCACAGUCGAUCCGGCAUUUCAAGGAGUCGGGAUGCAGCCCGGCCUGACAAUUUGGAGGAUCGAGAAGCUGGAAGUGAAGCCUGUCGACCCCAAGCUGUACGGGAGUUUCUACUCGGGAGACUCGUACAUUGUCCUCCACACGAAGCAAGCCAAGAGCGGCCGACUCGAGUGGAACAUCCACUUCUGGCUGGGACGAGACACAUCGCAGGACGAAUACACGGUCGCCGCCAUCAAGAGCGUGGAGCUGGACGACUCGCUGGGCGGCGCUCCCGUGCAGCAUCGUGAAGUGCAGGAGCACGAGUCCGACCUCUUCCUGUCGUACUUCAAGAACGGCAUCAGGUACCUGGAAGGCGGCAUUGAGUCCGGCCUGCAGAGCGUGGACAAGACGGUGCAGAAGCGGCUCUUCCAGGUCAAAGGGCGCCGCAACAUCCGCGUGAGUCAGGUGCCUCUGGAGGCCAGCUCGCUGAACCACGGUGACUGCUUCGUGCUCGACUGCCGCGACAACGUGUACGUCUUCGUGGGUCACCGAAGCGGCGGUCAUGAGCGGGUCAAGGCCAUACAGGUGGCCACGGGAAUACGCGACGAUGUCCACGGCGGCCGAAGCAAGAUCGGCAUACUCGACGAGCACAGCUGCGAGGCCGAGGUGAAUAAAUUCUUCGAGGAACUCGGCUCCGGCUCGCCCGCGGACGUCAAGGAUGCCGCCGAGGGGGGCGACGACGUCGAACACGAACGCUCCAGCGACACCGAGGUCUCGCUCCACAGGAUUUCGGACGCCGAUGGUGAACUCAAAGUGGAAAAGGUCGGUGACAAACCGCUGGCUCAUACGCUCCUGGACCCCAACGACUGCUUCCUUCUGGACGGCGGCAGGUCCGGCGUCUUUGUCUGGGUCGGCAAAGGGGCGAGCACCAAGGAGCGCAAGGAGUCCAUGCUCCUGGCUCAGAAAUAUCUCAAAUACCGGGGCUACCCGGAAUGGUGCCAGGUGACGCGCGUCAUCUGUGGCGCCGAGCCGCCCAUCUUCAAGCAGUACUUCGCCUCCUGGAAGCAAGAGCAGAGCGCCAUCUUCGGCAGGAAGGGCGCGCUCAAUCGCAUCGCCGAGAUGGACAAGACAUUCAACGUGAGUGAAUUGCACCGCGAGAAACGGCGCCUCUUGACCAAGAACCUGGGCAACGCAUGCAGUUUCAUGCCUGACGACGGCUCCGGGUCAAUGGAGAUCUUCCGCGUGGAGAACUUCGAGCUGGCACCCGUAGACCCGGCAAUCUACGGUUUCUUUUUCGGCGGGGAUAGCUACGUCAUCAAGUACACCUACAAAAAGGGCUACAACGAGCGCUACGUCAUCUACUUCUGGCAGGGAAACGAGAGCAGCCAAGACGAAAAGGCUGCCUCGGCGAUCUGGGCCGUGAAGAUGGACAACGACCUCUGCGGAAAGGCCAUUCAGGUGCGCGUGGUUCAGGGCCACGAGCCGGAGCACUUCCUGCGCAUGUUCAAGGGGCGCAUGAUCAUCUUCAGCGGAGGACACGCCAGCGGGUUCCGCAACCUCAGGGACCACGACACCUACGACGUCGACGGGACGCGCAUGUUCCACGUCAAGGGAACCUCGGACGUCGACGUCCGAGCAGUGCAGGCAAAUGAAGUGGCGGCGUCAUUGAAUUCCGAGGACGUCUUCGUGCUAGAGACACCGAAGACAACAUUCUUAUGGCUGGGAGAGUUCGCCGACCCGUCGGAGAUUGCCAUGGGCCACAAUGUGGCGAAGCUGGUUUCGCCAGAUAGGCAAGCGGUGGAGCUGAAAGAAGGAUCGGAGCCGGAAGAGUUCUGGAAGUCGAUCGGCGGCAAGGGCGAGUACAAGAAGGGACACCAGGAGGUGCACAACCCGCUGCUCGAACCCCGGCUGUUCAAGUGCUCCACGGCCACCGGAAGGCUGCGCGUCAUCGAGAUCUGCAACUUCACCCAGGAGGAUCUGGACGUGAACGACGUCAUGAUGUUGGACAGCGGCGAGGAGAUCUACGUCUGGAUCGGCAAAGGCUCCACUGAGGAGGAGAGGACCAAGUCGCUCGAGGUGGCCAUGGAGUACGUGAAGACGGACCCAACAGAGCGAGAUUUGAACAGCACUGCCAUCAUCACCGUAAACCAGGCGCAAGAGCCAGAUGCAUUCACGGCACUCUUCGACCACUGGGACGCCAACCUGUGGGAGAGCCGAUAAAAAAAACGGCCUCCGGUCGCUGCGCCAAUACCAAAAAUCAUUGUUGGCAUGGCCCAACAUUCCCACGUACGAGGAGCUUAAGCGCCAAGUGACCCGACUCUGAGCCUCGGGUGCCGACGGAAGCCGCCGCCCGGAGCUUCUCCCAAGCGACGCCUUUCGCUGCACCUGUUGGGCAGCGAGAGAAAAGGCUGUCCGUGCCCGCUCGGUGCCGAACGGUCCGCGACGCUCACUCCUCCCUGCACUCCGCACUUUUCCUUCUUCUUUGUUUUUUUUCUUUUUCUUUUUUUUUACAGAGUCGCAUCCGACAGGCGACUUUUGCCGUCCAAGAAGGCCGUUGCGCUUCUCACCGAGUCAGUGUUAUCGAGAAUGAGUACGUCCGCAGAUCCCUACAACCGCGUCAGAAAUCCCGUCCGCUAACUUCUCGAAGUACUUGAAUCGUGAUCGCAUGUAAAAGGGGACCGUAGGAUUCGUAAGUGAGCAUAAAUUAGCUAGCUUGGCCAGUUGGUGUGCCUUGCCUGACAAACCCGGCGCCAAGUAAAGGCGACAACGUCUCCUAAAUACAUUCUAAUAAUAAAAAAAGACAAAUAAGAGCGUGCGGAGUGAGAGUUGCAGGUAGACACAGCUAAACAGAAAUGAUGGCUUUCGUGUGGAAUUACCAGGCGUUUUCGAGGUGUAUAGUGCAGGGCUCGCUCAGGCGUGGCCUCUGUGAUCGCCUGCACGCGGUAUCUUGGAGGCCAUUACUGAGGGUAAGAAAUUGGGCGCAAUUUCACAUGCAGCGCUGAUAUCGUCGCUGAUUCUUAUACCGGCAGUGCAAAACAACGUUUCCUCACAGUUCAAAUCGAAUCACGGCAGUUUUCGACCUCGCGCCUACUUGAUAAACCACGGCUUCGAUUUUGAGUGCAGUUUUGUACUGAGCAUUGAAAAGCUUUUGUUUCGAGCAAAUUUUUAGUGUAAAGUAUAUUGCGUCCUUAACGCAUCCUGAGGGAAUGAACAGCGUGAGGUCUGUUUUUUUUUUUUUUUUUGUCCUGCGAAUCGAAGCGGGGCUGCGGACGUGUAGCGUACUUACGAGACCAUAUCUUUCUCUGCGCAAUGUGAUUGCCAGUCAAAUGCAACAGCCUUUAAUAUGUUAGGUUUCCGAACAAAACAAAUCACACCGCCUUUGCAAGCUCUGCCGCCGUCUUUCGCGUGCGCUAGUAUUUACCUUUGCGCUGUGUGUAUGAUGAAGAGCACUUUGAAUGAGCCGCGGCGUUCUGUGUGGCAUUCUGCAAGAUACAUAAACUCUUUUGAUGCACUUGUGUAUUAUUCAGAGUGCCGACGUAAAUUAUGUGACAAGUGCAAAUGUGUUAUUUUAGUAUGCUUUGUACUUUUUUCAAUUUUUAUUAAGAAAUAAAGCAUUGAAUGUUA
Molecule: non-coding RNA, 3874 nt
Organism: Dermacentor albipictus
Lineage: Eukaryota; Metazoa; Arthropoda; Arachnida; Ixodida; Ixodidae
Source: RefSeq, a predicted model, not a curated record